CUUCAACCCCUCCUUUCCUGGUACUUUAAUCAGAGAGCUUUUAACACCCUGUGGCCCACACCUGAGUGUUUUAAGCUUUCUUCCUUAAGUAGCUUUCAGAAUUCCUAAGUAGCUUGUGCUGGUGAUCCACAUAUGGUGCAGAAGAGAUAGCAGUGUUAGCAUCUUGAUUGUGAGUACUUCUGGGAAAUACUAAGAUCCGAGGCAUCAGUUCCAGGUACCUGUCUGGAAAAGAAGAACUAUGUUCCCCAAGAGCCUUUUCGAGUACUGUUAUCAUUCCUACUCAAGGGAACAGAUAUAAGGGUGCAAGUCAUCUGUCUUGUCCCUCUUCUCAUCUCGCCGUGUUCCCUGUCGGAUCGGCUCACUACUGCUGCUGCCGACUGCACGCAAGGCUUCAGUAUUAGCGUAAGGCCUUUGGCUCUCGGACAAUCUUUCUCUCAAUUAUUGCUGAUUUAUAUUGUAUUAUAGUGUGUUAUCUUACAUUCUGAUACUAUAUUUAGUAAAUUAGUUUGUUU
This 512-nucleotide long non-coding RNA is filed under the name Gallus gallus (chicken). The record is from RNAcentral. Lineage: Eukaryota; Metazoa; Chordata; Aves; Galliformes; Phasianidae.